UGGUGGUUGAUUUUAGUUGCCAACCUGAGU
Molecule: non-coding RNA, 30 nt
Filed under: Mus musculus (house mouse)
Lineage: Eukaryota; Metazoa; Chordata; Mammalia; Rodentia; Muridae
Source: RNAcentral